GCCGGGCGUGGUGGCUCACGCCUGUAAACCCAGCACUUUGGGAGGCUGAGGUGGGGGGAUCACCUGAGGUCAGGAGUUCAAGACCAGCCUGGCCAAUAUGGUGAAACCCCAUCUCUA
RNAcentral lists this signal recognition particle RNA (117 nucleotides) under Homo sapiens (human). RNAcentral describes it as "Metazoan signal recognition particle RNA". It matches the Rfam family "Metazoan signal recognition particle RNA". From Rfam's summary of the family: The signal recognition particle (SRP) is a universally conserved ribonucleoprotein. It is involved in the co-translational targeting of proteins to membranes. The eukaryotic SRP consists of a 300-nucleotide 7S RNA and six proteins: SRPs 72, 68, 54, 19, 14, and 9. The record is from Rfam by way of RNAcentral. Lineage: Eukaryota; Metazoa; Chordata; Mammalia; Primates; Hominidae.